CUCCUUCUUCCCGCACGAGGACGAGGUGCUGAUCCCGCCCUUCGAGACCUUCGAGGUCACCGGUGUCACCAACGUCACCGCGGGCGGGGGCGGGGCGCGGAUCGAGCUGCGCUCCUCCGGCACCUUCAGCAACUACAACUGCCAGUGGCUGCGAGAGCAGCGCUGUGGAGACGGGCCCUGUGUGUUCGACACGGGCAGGAGCACCCCCCACCUCGGAGGGCUCCUCCUGGCCACUACAGCCCUGGCAGUGGCCACCGGGAUCCUCUGAGCCACCAUGGCCACCGAGAUCACCACCGGUCAUUGUGGUCACCGUGGUCACCAAGGCUGCUGGCACCUCCCCCAGCCACGAGGCCACCGAGGUGUCCAAAGUCACCAUGGCCACCGUGGCCACUGUGGCCACCAAGCCAGGACGAGUUAGGGGACAACACUGGAGCCACCAGGUGCCACCAGGACAUUGGGACAAGAGAGGGGACAGGGGGACUCUGAAUGUACCAUCGCUUUGGUUCUUCACUUUUGGGGGUUUUUUCCCCUCCCUUUCCCAAAAUUUUAAUUUUUCUUCCCAAUUAUUAAACUGGAUUUGCCUCAAUCCGUGAGUUUUCCUCUCGUUUUCCCAUCCCAAAUUAUCCUGGAAUUCCGGGAUUUCCUGGGGGCAGGAGGAAGAGGAAAAGGAGGUGGAAGAAGAGAAUUCGAAUAAUUUACCAAAAUAUGAG
Long non-coding RNA from Oenanthe melanoleuca, 710 nucleotides. RefSeq lists it as uncharacterized. The record is from RefSeq and is a predicted model, not a curated record. Lineage: Eukaryota; Metazoa; Chordata; Aves; Passeriformes; Muscicapidae. The transcript has 3 exons.